This 112-nucleotide ribosomal RNA is filed under the name Acanthosepion pharaonis. The record is from RNAcentral. Lineage: Eukaryota; Metazoa; Mollusca; Cephalopoda; Sepiida; Sepiidae.
UUACGGUCAAAUCACGCUGAAACACCGGUUCUCAUACGAUCACCGAAGUUAAGCAGCGUAGAGCCAGGUCAGUACUUAGAUGGGGACGCUUGGGAACACCUGGUACUGUAAG